This 368-nucleotide RNase P RNA is filed under the name Lachnospiraceae bacterium. Its description in RNAcentral is "RNase P RNA component class A". It matches the Rfam family "Bacterial RNase P class A". Rfam says of the family: Ribonuclease P (RNase P) is a ubiquitous endoribonuclease, found in archaea, bacteria and eukarya as well as chloroplasts and mitochondria. Its best characterised activity is the generation of mature 5'-ends of tRNAs by cleaving the 5'-leader elements of precursor-tRNAs. The record is from RNAcentral. Lineage: Bacteria; Bacillati; Bacillota; Clostridia; Lachnospirales; Lachnospiraceae.
CGAGUCGGACAGAUGAUCGCGGCUUGGAGACCGUAAUCGGUCUCUGAGGUGAGGAAAGUCCGGGCUUCAUAGGGCAGGAUGCCGGAUAACGUCCGGUGGAGGUGACUCCCAGGCCAGUGCAACAGAAACAAACCGCUGCGGGAUUUUUCCCGCAGUAAGGGUGGAAAGGCAGUGUAAGAGACUACCGUGCCGGUGGUAACAUCGGUAGCCAUGUAAACCCCAUCCGAAGCAAGACCAAACGCCGAAAGGCGGACAACUAUAGGCCGGCCCGGUCUGUUGUCAGGUAGGUCGCUUGAGGUCAAUGGUAACAUUGAUCCUAGACAGAUGAUCAUCUAAUACAUAACCCGGCUUACAGUCCGACUCGUAUU